CGGACAGAUGGGAGCUUGCUCCCUGAUGUUAGCGGCGGACGGAGAAAGUAACACGUGGGUAACCUGCCUGUAAGACUGGGACAACUCCGGGAAACCGGGGCUAAUACCGGAUGGUUGUUUGAACCGCAUGGUUCAAACAUAAAAGGUGGCUUCGGCUACCACUUACAGAUGGACCCGCGGCGCAUUAGCUAGUUGGUGAGGUAACGGCUCACCAAGGCAACGAUGCGUAGCCGACCUGAGAGGGUGAUCGGCCACACUGGGACUGAGACACGGCCCAGACUCCUACGGGAGGCAGCAGUAGGGAAUCUUCCGCAAUGGACGAAAGUCUGACGGAGCAACGCCGCGUGAGUGAUGAAGGUUUUCGGAUCGUAAAGCUCUGUUGUUAGGGAAGAACAAGUACCGUUCGAAUAGGGCGGUACCUUGACGGUACCUAACCAGAAAGCCACGGCUAACUACGUGCCAGCCGCCGCGGUAAUUCGUAGGUGGCAAGCGUUGUCCGGAAUUAUUGGGCGUAAAGGGCUCGCAGGCGGUUUCUUAAGUCUGAUGUGAAAGCCCCCGGCUCAACCGGGGAGGGGCAUUGGAAACUGGGGAACUUGAGUGCAGAAGAGGAGAGUGGAAUUUCACGUGUAGCGGUGAAAUGCGUAGAGAUGUGGAGGAACACCAGUGG
RNAcentral lists this ribosomal RNA (667 nucleotides) under Bacillus sp. (in: firmicutes). Its description in RNAcentral is "bacterial SSU rRNA". It matches the Rfam family "Bacterial small subunit ribosomal RNA", at positions 67 to 715 of the family's 1533-position model. Lineage: Bacteria; Bacillati; Bacillota; Bacilli; Caryophanales; Bacillaceae. The record is from RNAcentral.